AUGUUCGCGCCCUCGUGGAUCUCCGCCACCGAGAGCCUCUACCUCUGGUGCGGCGGCUGGCGCCCCACUUCCGCGAUCCAGCUGCUCUACUCCAAGUCCGGCCUGCAGCUCGAGGCCCAGCUCCCGGCCUUCCUCGACGGCGGCAGCCUCGGGGACGGUGACCUGGGCGGCCUCUCCGCGGAGCAGCUCCAGGCCGCCGACCAGCUGCAGCGCCGCACCAUCCGGAGGGAACGGGAGAUCGAGGAGGCCGCCGCCGGCGCGCAGGUGAACUGUUUACCAACCCCAGCUUCCUCUCCUUUUUUGGAUCCGUUAACUAAUGUGAACGUAUAGGAGUCGUUGGCGACGACGAAGAUGGUGGAGCUCGCCGGAAAGGGAGGGAUGGACGCGGCGGAGGGGAUGGAGCUGGAGAUGGAUGCCAAGGCGGAGGCGAUGAAGCGCGUGCUGGAGAUGGCGGACGGGCUGAGGCUGGAGACGCUGCGCGGCGUGGUGGGGCUGCUCCGGCCUGCCCAGGCCGUGCACUUCCUCGUGGCCGCCGCGGAGCUCCACCUCGCCGUGCACAAGUUCGGCCGGCGCAAGGACGGCGCCGCGGCGGCGGAGUGAGCCUGCAGGCUGCUGGUGGCGCGCGCAAGUGGUUGCUCUGCUCCGCGCAACGCUCGUCGUCUAGCUAGCUCCGAGCUGCCUUCGUUUUGCCUGGUCAACGCGAGGUGUCGCGAUAAGCUUUGACCGUGAUCCCCUUCUGUUUGGUCAGCAUGUGCGUUCUGCCAUUGUGUGAAACCUGUGGUAACUUGUACGAAGUGGGCUAGCUACUUGUGUAUGUAUAAUGCACAAGCUCAUGCCAUGGUGGUUUAGCUACUUGUAUGUAUGUGUAAUGCAUUAUUAUGGAAAAUGGAGGCGUAAAGGGGUGGCCAAAUUCACUGUUUUGACCAUAUUUCAUUAGUUU
Molecule: long non-coding RNA, 940 nt
Filed under: Triticum aestivum (bread wheat)
Lineage: Eukaryota; Viridiplantae; Streptophyta; Magnoliopsida; Poales; Poaceae
Description: long non-coding RNA (TAES_LNC028532)
Source: RNAcentral